GGGGAGUUAGCUCAGGUGGUAGAGCGCUCGCUUAGCAUGGGAGAGGUGGUGAGAUCGAUGCCCACAGUCUCCA
RNAcentral lists this transfer RNA (73 nucleotides) under Oryctolagus cuniculus (rabbit). It matches the Rfam family "tRNA". Rfam says of the family: Transfer RNA (tRNA) molecules are approximately 80 nucleotides in length. Their secondary structure includes four short double-helical elements and three loops (D, anti-codon, and T loops). Lineage: Eukaryota; Metazoa; Chordata; Mammalia; Lagomorpha; Leporidae. The record is from Rfam by way of RNAcentral.